UACGGGGGGGGCAAGCGUUGUUCGGAAUUACUGGGCGUAAAGGGCUCGUAGGCGGCCAACUAAGUCGGAUGUGAAAUCCCCAGGCUUAACCUGGGAACUGCAUCCGAUACUGGAUGGCUUGAAUUCGGGAGAGGGAUGCAGAAUUCCAGGUGUAGCGGUGAAAUGCGUAGAUAUCAGGAGGAACACCGGUGGCGAAGGCGGCUUUCUGGACAGAUACCGACGCUGAGGCACGAAAGCUAGGGGAGCAAACAGG
RNAcentral lists this ribosomal RNA (253 nucleotides) under uncultured bacterium. RNAcentral's name for it is "partial 16S ribosomal RNA". It matches the Rfam family "Bacterial small subunit ribosomal RNA", at positions 524 to 776 of the family's 1533-position model. The record is from RNAcentral.